RNAcentral lists this ribosomal RNA (451 nucleotides) under uncultured Prevotellaceae bacterium. Its description in RNAcentral is "bacterial SSU rRNA". It matches the Rfam family "Bacterial small subunit ribosomal RNA", at positions 389 to 833 of the family's 1533-position model. Lineage: Bacteria; Pseudomonadati; Bacteroidota; Bacteroidia; Bacteroidales; Prevotellaceae. The record is from RNAcentral.
CAGCCAAUUAGCGCGCAGGAUUGCGGCCCUCCGGUUCUUAAACUACUUUUAGUUGGGAAUUUUCAAGAGGACGUGUCCUCUAUUGUAUGUACCUUCAGAAAAAGGACCGGCUCAUUCCGUGCCAGCAGCCGCGGUUAAUACGGAAGGUCCAGGCGUUAUCCGGAUUUAUUGGCUUUAAAGGGAGCGUAGGCGGAUUAUUAAGUCAGUGGUGAAAGACGGUGGCUCAACCAUCGUUAGCCAUUGAAACUGGUAGUCUUGAGUGCAGACAGGGAUGCUGGAACUCGUGGUGUAGCCGGUGAAAUGCUUAGAUAUCACGAUGAACUCCGAUCGCGAAGGCAGGUGUCCGGGCUGCAACUGACGCUGAGGCUCGAAAGUGUGGGUAUCAAACAGGAUUAGAUAUCCCUGGUAGUCCACACCAGUAAAGCGAUGUAUACUCGCGGUUUGCGAUAUA